AAAGAAAGACACGAGAAUCAUUUGGUCACUGCUGAAGCACCUGUAGCACCACUGCAGGGCUGGACAUUGCUGGAAUCAACAGCUACUUUAGGAAUCAUGACCUUCAGGAUAUGCACUUCUUGAAAAGUCCUACUGAAGUCAGAAGAAUGUUGACCUGGCUGUUGUCUUUCUCAACACUGUGUUCGGUUGAAACCCAUGAAGCACCUGUACCUUGGAGGUUAAGAAAUUCU
Molecule: long non-coding RNA, 230 nt
Organism: Poecile atricapillus (Black-capped chickadee)
Lineage: Eukaryota; Metazoa; Chordata; Aves; Passeriformes; Paridae
Exons: 4
Source: RefSeq, a predicted model, not a curated record